RNAcentral lists this ribosomal RNA (253 nucleotides) under uncultured bacterium. RNAcentral describes it as "partial 16S ribosomal RNA". It matches the Rfam family "Bacterial small subunit ribosomal RNA", at positions 524 to 776 of the family's 1533-position model. The record is from RNAcentral.
GACGUAGGAUGCGAGCGUUAUUCGGAUUUAUUGGGCGUAAAGCGUGCGUAGGCGGCUAUUUAAGUCUGGUGUUAAAGCUAGGGGCUCAACCCCUGUGAUGCACUGGAUACUGGGUAGCUUGAGUGCGGUAGGGGAAGGUGGAAUUCCGAGUGUAGCGGUGAAAUGCGUAGAGAUGUGGAGGAACACCAGUGGCGAAGGCGGCUUUCUGGUCUGUAACUGACGCUGAGGCGCGAAAGCGUGGGGAGCAAACAGG